Molecule: ribosomal RNA, 942 nt
Filed under: Triticum aestivum (bread wheat)
Lineage: Eukaryota; Viridiplantae; Streptophyta; Magnoliopsida; Poales; Poaceae
Description: partial small subunit ribosomal RNA
Source: RNAcentral
AUGGGUUCCACCAAGCCACUCCGGCUGAUCCAGCACAAGAAGGAGGCCCUCUGGUUCUACAGCUUCAUCUCCUUCGGCUACGACCAUGUGUUCAACCCAGGCCAGUACACCGAGGACAUGCGCGACAUCUCCCUGGAGCAUGCCCGCCUCCAUAGCCGCGCCCUCAAGGUGGUCGACGUCGGUGGUGGCACUGGCUUCACCACGCUCGGCGUCGUCCGGUAUGUCGACCCCGAGAACGUGACGCUGCUCGACCAGUCGCCGCACCAACUCGACAAGGCCAGAAAGAAGAAGGCCCUCAGGGGCAUCAAGAUCAUGGAGGGUGACGCCGAGGACCUCCCCUUCCCCACCGACACCUUUGACCGAUACGUCUCCGCUGGCAGGUCGGUUAUGGACAAUCUCCUCUCCUUAGACUUUACGUUGACACAUCCAAUGAUCGAUUCGUCUGAGUUCUUGAUUUUGGCCUCCAUGCAUGGCAGCAUUGAGUAUUGGCCUGAUCCGCAGCGGGGGAUCAGGGAGGCCUACAGGGUCCUCAGCGCCGACGGUGUGGCUUGUAUGAUAGGCCCCGUGCGCCCGACGUUCUGGCUAUCUCGCUUCUUCGCCGACAUGUGGAUGCUCUUCCCCACGGAGGAAGAGUACAUCAAGUGGUUCGAGGGGGCCGGCUUCAAGGAUGUCGAGCUCACCAGAAUCGGGCCAAAGUGGUACCGCGGUGCCCGUAGGCAUGGCCUGGUCAUAGGGUGCUGUGUCACAGGCAUCAAGAAACAAAGUGGGGACUCCCCCUUACAGCUUGGUCCAAAGGCUGAGGAUGUUAGCAAGCCACAUGUGAACCCCAUCUUCGUCUUCUUUCGGUUCCUCAUUGGGACAAUAUGCGCCACAUACUUCUUCCUAGUGCCUAUUUACAUGUGGAUCAAGGACAAGAUUGUGCCCCAAGGCAGACCUAUCUAA